This is a non-coding RNA of Taeniopygia guttata (zebra finch), 1240 nucleotides long. Lineage: Eukaryota; Metazoa; Chordata; Aves; Passeriformes; Estrildidae. The record is from RefSeq and is a predicted model, not a curated record.
CUUCCUUGCCAACUGUAGGACACAUCACAGAUGCCAUUGUGACCAUACUCCCUCAGCAUAUAGCUACGAGCACUCACACAGCAUUCCCCAUUUCCUUCACCUACUCUUUGGUUGGACUCCUUCAGUUCACACUUUUUACAGGAACUUAGCAAAGUUUUCCCCUAUUUCACUUCCUUAUUACUGCAAGCAGUAGACUAGAAAUAGCACUGUAAAACCAAAAUGGUUCUGGCUUAUGUGCAUCUGCUCUCUCCUGUGUGCACUGUCCGUGUGUACAGGUGCACAGUCAGUAAAGGCACAGCAAUAAUACAGUGUUCUUUUGCUGUAUUAAGCACAAAAGAAGCACUAACCAAGUUACCAGAGAAGAGAUUUACCUUGGGCUCAAUUUUUUUUUCCAUUAACUGCUGCCAGGAGAAAGAAGAUGGAAAUGUGGAAUUGAGAUUUAGAUCUUCAAGUUCCCAAUCUCCUUUAACUCACUGUUUUAAGAUCUGGCUGAACAAUUAAGACCAAGAAUUACAAUUUUUCUGCAAUAUGAUACAAUACUGAUUUCAUCAAAAGUGACCAUAAGCUAUUUCACAUAAAACUCCAUUGUUCAUCCUUCAUAAAAAAAGAUGAUGAGAAGCUAGGCAAGAAAUUGAGUCCAAAAGUCAGCUGACAACUGUGCAGGUAUCUCCAUCUCUGUCAGAGUCACUGCUGGUACUGUAAGUUAAGAAGUGCAGCACCUCACAGGCUGCUGGCAUACCCUAUCCUGAAUUCAAGUAACCAGAGCAAAAGCAUUUGGUCAGCCCCACACCAGACCUCAAUAGUCAUGUGAAGAAAUUUUUAGGGAGAGUUUUUAAUCAACCACUUCCCAAAUGACUUCUACAAAUUAUUGUUUUAUAGAGAGAAUUCAUUGCAACAGAAUUUAACAAACUGCUAAUCUGAAAGUUACCAGAGAUGAGUCAAAUGAAAGAAGCUUUCUUUUUACUCCUUUAAGUAAUUUCUUGUCUUGGCUUCAUUACCUGAAUAUCUUUUAAUCUUCCAUUAGUAAAUAACGGGAUUUACUGUAUAUUAAAAUGAGACAUCUGGGUCAUCCAAGAUGCUGCACAAACACUGGAAUUUACUCAAAUGUUCAGCAUCAGACUCCACAGAUUGAAGACAGCAGCAAUGUCUGGACAUUAUCCAACCCAACCCACUGCUUAAAGCAGAGUCAACUCCAGCCAGGCUGGUUUGGGUUUUUGAUGGGUCUACAACACCAACAUUC